RNAcentral lists this ribosomal RNA (261 nucleotides) under uncultured archaeon. RNAcentral describes it as "partial 16S ribosomal RNA". It matches the Rfam family "Archaeal small subunit ribosomal RNA", at positions 748 to 1009 of the family's 1478-position model. The record is from RNAcentral.
CAGCCGUAAACUAUGCGCGUUAGGUGUAUCGGUGACCACGAGUCACCGAGGUGCCGAAGGGAAACCGUGAAACGUGCCGCCUGGGAAGUACGGUCGCAAGGCUGAAACUUAAAGGAAUUGACGGGGGAGCACCACAACGGGUGGAGCCUGCGGUUUAAUUGGACUCAACGCCGGGAAGCUCACCGGAUAAGACAGCGGAAUGAUUGCCGGGCUGAAGACUCUGCAUGACUAGCUGAGAGGAGGUGCAUGGCGUAGACGUCU